Molecule: ribosomal RNA, 578 nt
Filed under: Rhizophlyctis rosea
Lineage: Eukaryota; Fungi; Chytridiomycota; Chytridiomycetes; Rhizophlyctidales; Rhizophlyctidaceae
Description: LSU rRNA
Rfam family: Eukaryotic large subunit ribosomal RNA
Source: RNAcentral
UCCGGAGCCCGCUCACAUGUGAUGCGUUUUCUAAGAGUCGGUUUGUUUGGGAAUGCAGACCAAAAUGGGUGGUAAAUACCAUCUAAAGCUAAAUAUUGGCGAGAGACCGAUAGCGAACAAGUACCGUGAGGGAAAGAUGAAAAGAACUUUGAAAAGAGAGUUAAAAGUACGUGAAAUUGUCAAAAGGGAAACGCUUGAAACCAGUAUUGCUUGCAGGUAAUCAGCCGUUGCUUUUGGAGCGGUGCACUUGCCUGUCGGCGGGUCAACAUCAGUUUGGCUCGGGAUAAAAAGCCGGGAGAAGGUAGCCCCUCUCGGGGGGUGUUAUAGCUCACGGUCAUGUCUUGGGCUGGACUGAGGUCUGCAGCGUUAUUUGGGUAGCCAGUCGCCUCUCGAAGCUUUUCUGUAGACAGCACGCUGACUGCGGGACGGUCUAGGGAGCACGGUUGGGAUUCCACACCAACGCUUAGGAUGUUGACGAAAUGGUUUUAAACGACCCGUCUUGAAACACGGACCAAGGAGUCUAACAUACAUGCGAGUGUUUGGGUGGCAAACCCUCACGCGAAAUGAAAGUGAACUUA